GCCGUGAUCGUAUAGUGGUUAUUACGUUUCGUUGUGGACGCAGCAACCUCGGUUCAAAUCCGAGUCACGGCA
Molecule: transfer RNA, 72 nt
Filed under: Callorhinchus milii (elephant shark)
Lineage: Eukaryota; Metazoa; Chordata; Chondrichthyes; Chimaeriformes; Callorhinchidae
Description: tRNA-His (GTG) (tRNA-His-GTG-15-1)
Rfam family: tRNA
About the family: Transfer RNA (tRNA) molecules are approximately 80 nucleotides in length. Their secondary structure includes four short double-helical elements and three loops (D, anti-codon, and T loops).
Source: Rfam by way of RNAcentral